RNAcentral lists this ribosomal RNA (1391 nucleotides) under uncultured bacterium. Its description in RNAcentral is "partial 16S ribosomal RNA". It matches the Rfam family "Bacterial small subunit ribosomal RNA". The record is from RNAcentral.
AGAGUUUGAUCCUGGCUCAGGAUGAACGCUGGCGGUGCGCCUAACACAUGCAAGUCGAACGAAGGAUUGUGAAGGAACUUUACGGAGGGAAAACACAAUGACUGAGUGGCGGACGGGUGAGUAACGCGUAGGGAACCUGGCCCUUACAGGGGGAUAACAGAUGGAAACAACUGCUAAUACCGCAUAAGCGCCCAGCCUCGCAUGAGGCAGAGUGAAAAACUAAGGUGGUAAGGGAUGGCCCUGCGUCCGAUUAGCUAGUUGGUAUGGUAACGGCAUACCAAGGCGACGAUCGGUAGCCGGCCUGAGAGGGUGGACGGCCACAUUGGGACUGAGACACGGCCCAAACUCCUACGGGAGGCAGCAGUGGGGGAUAUUGCACAAUGGGGGAAACCCUGAUGCAGCGACACCGCGUGGGUGAAGAAGCGCUUCGGCGUGUAAAGCCCUAUCAGUGGGGAAGAAAAAGGACGGUACCCAAAGAAGAAGCACCGGCUAAAUACGUGCCAGCAGCCGCGGUAAUACGUAUGGUGCAAGCGUUAUCCGGAAUGACUGGGUGUAAAGGGAGCGUAGACGGUUGUACAAGUCUGAUGUGAAAGCCCACGGCUCAACUGUGGGAGUGCAUUGGAAACUGUAGAACUAGAGUAUCGGAGAGGCAAGUGGAAUUCCUAGUGUAGCGGUGAAAUGCGUAGAUAUUAGGAGGAACACCAGUGGCGAAGGCGGCUUGCUGGACGAAAACUGACGUUGAGGCUCGAAAGCGUGGGGAGCAAACAGGAUUAGAUACCCUGGUAGUCCACGCUGUAAACGAUGAAUACUAGGUGUUGGGGCCCGAAGGGCGUCGGUGCCGUCGCAAACGCAGUAAGUAUUCCACCUGGGGAGUACGUUCGCAAGAAUGAAACUCAAAGGAAUUGACGGGGGCCCGCACAAGCGGAGGAACAUGUGGUUUAAUUCGAUGAUACGCGAGGAACCUUACCCGGGCUCAAACGUAGCAGGACGUGCGCCGAAAAGCGCAUUUCACUUGUGACCUGUUACGAGGUGCUGCAUGGUUGUCGUCAGCUCGUGCCGUGAGGUGUCGGCUUAAGUGCCAUAACGAGCGCAACCCCUGCCGCCAGUUGCUAACGCGAAAAGGCGAGGACUCUGGCGGGACUGCCGGCGCAAGCCGUGAGGAAGGCGGGGAUGACGUCAAAUCAGCACGGCCCUUACGUCCGGGGCGACACACGUGUUACAAUGGCCGGUACAGCGGGAAGCCAGGCGGCGACGCCGAGCGGAACCCGAAAACCGGUCUCAGUUCGGAUCGGAGUCUGCAACCCGACUCCGUGAAGCUGGAUUCGCUAGUAAUCGCGCAUCAGCCAUGGCGCGGUGAAUCCCUUCAGGGGCCUUGCACACACCGCCCGUCA